Molecule: ribosomal RNA, 468 nt
Filed under: uncultured bacterium
Lineage: Bacteria
Description: partial 16S ribosomal RNA
Rfam family: Bacterial small subunit ribosomal RNA
Source: RNAcentral
GACGAACGCUGGCGGCGUGCUUAACACAUGCAAGUCGAACGGAAAGGCCCUGCUUUUGUGGGGUGCUCGAGUGGCGAACGGGUGAGUAACACGUGAGUAACCUGCCCUUGACUUUGGGAUAACUUCAGGAAACUGGGGCUAAUACCGGAUAGGAGCUCCUGCUGCAUGGUGGGGGUUGGAAAGUUUCGGCGGUUGGGGAUGGACUCGCGGCUUAUCAGCUUGUUGGUGGGGUAGUGGCUUACCAAGGCUUUGACGGGUAGCCGGCCUGAGAGGGUGACCGGCCACAUUGGGACUGAGAUACGGCCCAGACUCCUACGGGAGGCAGCAGUGGGGAAUAUUGCAAAAUGGGCGGAAGCCUGAUGCAGCAACGCCGCGUGCGGGAUGACGGCCUUCGGGUUGUAAACCGCUUUCGCCUGUGACAAAGCGUGAGUGACGGUAAUGGGUAAAGAAGCACCGGCUAACUACGUG